Molecule: ribosomal RNA, 301 nt
Filed under: uncultured bacterium
Lineage: Bacteria
Description: partial 16S ribosomal RNA
Rfam family: Bacterial small subunit ribosomal RNA
Source: RNAcentral
CAGUAGCCGCGGUAAUACAGAGGGUGCGAGCGUUAAUCGGAUUUACUGGGCGUAAAGCGUGCGUAGGCGGCUUCUUAAGUCGGAUGUGAAAUCCCUAAGCUUAACUUAGGAAUUGCAUUCGAUACUGGGAAGCUAGAGUAUGGGAGAGGAUGGUAGAAUUCCAGGUGUAGCGGUGAAAUGCGUAGAGAUCUGGAGGAAUACCGAUGGCGAAGGCAGCCAUCUGGCCUAAUACUGACGCUGAGGUACGAAAGCAUGGGGAGCAAACAGGAUUAGAUACCCCUGUAGUCCCUGUCUCUUAUAC